This 82-nucleotide microRNA precursor is filed under the name Trichobilharzia regenti. RNAcentral's name for it is "mir-3492 microRNA precursor family". Lineage: Eukaryota; Metazoa; Platyhelminthes; Trematoda; Strigeidida; Schistosomatidae. The record is from Rfam by way of RNAcentral.
AGCCUUCUGUAUCUGUACUGAGAUUUCGUCAGAGAUCAACCUGUUGGCAUCGGCUGAUGGAACUUCUCAAAUAAGUGAAGCG